UAGCAAUCAAAAUCGUGGAUGAUUUUGAUAAGAAUUUUCAGCACAGGGAUGUGAUGUAAAUUCUGGUGCGUAAAGUAU
Molecule: regulatory RNA element, 78 nt
Organism: Kangiella koreensis DSM 16069
Lineage: Bacteria; Pseudomonadati; Pseudomonadota; Gammaproteobacteria; Kangiellales; Kangiellaceae
Source: Rfam